AGAGUUUGAUCAUGGCUCAGGACGAACGCUGGCGGCGUGCUUAACACAUGCAAGUCGAACGAUGAAGUGGAGCUUGCUCCACGGAUUAGUGGCGAACGGGUGAGGAACACGUGAGAAACCUGCCUCGGAUUUUGGGAUAACAAAUGGAAACGUUUGCUAAUACCAAAUAACGUCGGAGAGUCACAUGGCUUUCUGACGAAAGGAAUUCCGAUUCGAGAGGGUCUCGCGGCCUAUCAGCUAGUUGGCGGGGUAAUGGCCCACCAAGGCAACGACGGGUAGCUGGUCUGAGAGGAUGGUCAGCCACACUGGGACUGAGACACGGCCCAGACUCCUACGGGAGGCAGCAGUGGGGAAUCUUGCGCAAUGGGCGAAAGCCUGACGCAGCAACGCCGCGUGCGGGAAGAAGGCUUUCGGGCUGUAAACCGCUUUCAGCAGGAACGAAAAUGACGGUACCUGCAGAAGAAGGAGCGGCCAACUAUGUGCCAGCAGCCGCGGUGAUACAUAGGCUUCAAGCGUUGUCCGGAUUUAUUGGGCGUAAAGAGUUCGUAGGCGGUCGAGUAAGUCGGGUGUGAAAAUUCUGGGCUCAACCCAGAAACGCCACCCGAUACUGCUUAACUUGAGUUCGAUAGGGGAGUGGGGAAUUCCUAGUGUAGCGGUGAAAUGCGCAGAUAUUAGGAGGAACACCGGUGGCGAAGGCGCCACUCUGGAUCGAUACUGACGCUGAGGAACGAAAGCAUGGGUAGCAAACAGGAUUAGAUACCCUGGUAGUCCAUGCCGUAAACGGUGGGCACUAGGUGUGGGAUUCUAUUAA
Molecule: ribosomal RNA, 811 nt
Filed under: uncultured bacterium
Lineage: Bacteria
Description: bacterial SSU rRNA
Rfam family: Bacterial small subunit ribosomal RNA
Source: RNAcentral